RNAcentral lists this ribosomal RNA (406 nucleotides) under uncultured bacterium. RNAcentral describes it as "partial 16S ribosomal RNA". It matches the Rfam family "Bacterial small subunit ribosomal RNA", at positions 29 to 526 of the family's 1533-position model. The record is from RNAcentral.
AUUGAACGCUGGCGGCAGGCCUAACACAUGCAAGUCGAACGAGUGGCGGACGGGUGAGUAAUGUCUGGGAAACUGCCUGAUGGAGGGGGAUCACUACUGGAAACGGUAGCUAAUACCGCAUACCAUCAUAUGUGCCCAGGUUGGAUUAGCUUGUUGGGGGGGUAACGGCUCACAAAGGCGACGAUCCCUAGCUGGUCCGAGAGGAGGACCAGACAAACGGGAACUGAGACACGGCCCAGACUCCUAGGGGAGGAGGAAGUGGGGAAUAUUGGACAUGGGGGGAAGGCCUGAGGAAGACAGGCGGGGUGGAGGAAGAGGGCCUUGGGGUGGAAAGGUACGUUAAGCGGGGAGGCGGUACCCGAAGAAGAAGCAACGGCUAACUCCGUGCCAGCCGCCGCGGUAAUAC